RNAcentral lists this non-coding RNA (415 nucleotides) under Trichomonas vaginalis G3. Its description in RNAcentral is "Eukaryotic large subunit ribosomal RNA". It matches the Rfam family "Eukaryotic large subunit ribosomal RNA", at positions 1 to 653 of the family's 3401-position model. The record is from Rfam by way of RNAcentral. Lineage: Eukaryota; Parabasalia; Trichomonadida; Trichomonadidae.
GUAGUCUGCCAUACGCAGGAAGACCCGCUGAACUGAAGCAUCUCAUUAAGCGGAGGAAAAGAAACUAACUAGGAUUCCCUUAGUAAAGGCGAUCGAAAAGGGAACAGCCCAACGUCUUAAUCCCGCAAGGGAAAUGUAGUCGGUUCACCUAUUGCACUGGUCUAAGUCAGAUGGAAUGCUGCGCGAUUCAGAGUAAAAGCCUCGUAUGACCAACCGCAAGCUUACGAUGGACCGGGGAGAGUCGGAUACUUUGAGAGUAGUGUCUUAAGGGGGUGGUAUGUCCCAUCCAAGGCUAAAUAACGUGAGGAGACCGAUAGAUUACAAGUAGUGUGAACGAAAGAUGAAAAGAACUCUAAAACAGAGGGUGAAAAGUUCCUGAACUUGCUUAGGGUUAAGGCUAUUUAUAGUACCCGUC